This 1401-nucleotide ribosomal RNA is filed under the name Lactiplantibacillus plantarum. RNAcentral describes it as "bacterial SSU rRNA". It matches the Rfam family "Bacterial small subunit ribosomal RNA", at positions 66 to 1428 of the family's 1533-position model. The record is from RNAcentral. Lineage: Bacteria; Bacillati; Bacillota; Bacilli; Lactobacillales; Lactobacillaceae.
ACGGGGAACCUCCUGGUAUUGAUUGGUGCUUGCAUCAUGAUUUACAUUUGAGUGAGUGGCGAACUGGUGAGUAACACGUGGGAAACCUGCCCAGAAGCGGGGGAUAACACCUGGAAACAGAUGCUAAUACCGCAUAACAACUUGGACCGCAUGGUCCGAGCUUGAAAGAUGGCUUCGGCUAUCACUUUUGGAUGGUCCCGCGGCGUAUUAGCUAGAUGGUGGGGUAACGGCUCACCAUGGCAAUGAUACGUAGCCGACCUGAGAGGGUAAUCGGCCACAUUGGGACUGAGACACGGCCCAAACUCCUACGGGAGGCAGCAGUAGGGAAUCUUCCACAAUGGACGAAAGUCUGAUGGAGCAACGCCGCGUGAGUGAAGAAGGGUUUCGGCUCGUAAAACUCUGUUGUUAAAGAAGAACAUAUCUGAGAGUAACUGUUCAGGUAUUGACGGUAUUUAACCAGAAAGCCACGGCUAACUACGUGCCAGCAGCCGCGGUAAUACGUAGGUGGCAAGCGUUGUCCGGAUUUAUUGGGCGUAAAGCGAGCGCAGGCGGUUUUUUAAGUCUGAUGUGAAAGCCUUCGGCUCAACCGAAGAAGUGCAUCGGAAACUGGGAAACUUGAGUGCAGAAGAGGACAGUGGAACUCCAUGUGUAGCGGUGAAAUGCGUAGAUAUAUGGAAGAACACCAGUGGCGAAGGCGGCUGUCUGGUCUGUAACUGACGCUGAGGCUCGAAAGUAUGGGUAGCAAACAGGAUUAGAUACCCUGGUAGUCCAUACCGUAAACGAUGAAUGCUAAGUGUUGGAGGGUUUCCGCCCUUCAGUGCUGCAGCUAACGCAUUAAGCAUUCCGCCUGGGGAGUACGGCCGCAAGGCUGAAACUCAAAGGAAUUGACGGGGGCCCGCACAAGCGGUGGAGCAUGUGGUUUAAUUCGAAGCUACGCGAAGAACCUUACCAGGUCUUGACAUACUAUGCAAAUCUAAGAGAUUAGACGUUCCCUUCGGGGACAUGGAUACAGGUGGUGCAUGGUUGUCGUCAGCUCGUGUCGUGAGAUGUUGGGUUAAGUCCCGCAACGAGCGCAACCCUUAUUAUCAGUUGCCAGCAUUAAGUUGGGCACUCUGGUGAGACUGCCGGUGACAAACCGGAGGAAGGUGGGGAUGACGUCAAAUCAUCAUGCCCCUUAUGACCUGGGCUACACACGUGCUACAAUGGAUGGUACAACGAGUUGCGAACUCGCGAGAGUAAGCUAAUCUCUUAAAGCCAUUCUCAGUUCGGAUUGUAGGCUGCAACUCGCCUACAUGAAGUCGGAAUCGCUAGUAAUCGCGGAUCAGCAUGCCGCGGUGAAUACGUUCCCGGGCCUUGUACACACCGCCCGUCACACCAUGAGAGUUUGUAACACCCAAAAGU